AUGGAGUGGAGCUUCAACAAUUCCGGCAUUGAUGUAGAUGAUGAACUUUGGGUGGUUAAUGUGCUGCCAAUUAAUGGUCUAGGGGAUAAUGUGCAAAGGAUAAUUGGACUGUCUGAUAUCACUUUUCUCAAGUUAGUGAGCUUGGUGUGCUCUGUUGGCUAUAACAAAAAGGAUACCAUCUAUUAUCAGUGCGGAGGAUUAGUUGGCAUGGAGCUAUUGGACAGUAAUAAGAAGGUGACAACAAUGGUAAAUCAGUACAAGAGCGUUAAGAUGUUGAAUCUGUCAGUUUUGAGGAGACCCGCACCAACCCGCGGCAAGAAAAGAACGAGGAAGCAAGCAUUGUUGAUAGAGCAGCCAACCAAAGAGGGCAUUAACGAAGUCAUAGUUGAGCAAGAAAAUGUGUUAGAGGAAAAAGUUGAGGUGACAGAGGAAGAAGAAGAGAUGGCAGUGGUAGAGGAAAAAGAAGAGAUGGCAGUGGCUGAGAAUUAUGAUGAUGAAGACUUGGAAAAUCUUGCUCGAUUAAAGAGACAGAAAGAAGAUCCUGCGGAGCACAUGGAGGGCGACACCGAUAUUGAGGACCUUUAUCCACUACUAGAUGAUACACCUGUUAUUCCUAUUGAAGAUAGCACACUUGAUUCUUGCAAUCCAUCAAAGAAGAGAGCAGAAGCAUGGCAGAAGAAGAAACUGAGGAAGGAUGCUAUUCUCGGUUCACAAGCAAAGUUGCGAGAUGUAACCAACACUCAAGCAUGUGAACUUUCAGAUCCAGGAAGUGAGGAUAUUGGAAUGGAUAUAAUAUCAAGCGAUGAUGAUGGCUUUGAACCUGCAAUAUCCGUUGCACCAAAAUGCAAGAAGAGUAGAGCACAACCACUUCCAACUAGAGUGUGGUAUGAUGAGGGCAGGUUGCUUGGAGGUGAACAACUCUGUUUGCAUAUGUGUUUUGUGAACAUGCAUCAAUACAGAAGAGCCUUGAAGAAUUAUCAUAUACUUCAAAGUAGAGACUAUAUGUAUCUUAGAAAUGAUAGAGAUCGGGUCAAUGUUUGUUGUGUGACUGAACUUUGCCAAUUCUAUAUGACAGCUUCAGCUAUCAAGAGAGAAGAGACUGUUUGCAUUAGGAAGAUGGUGUUACCUCAUACUUGUGGCAUUACCUAUGAUACUUCUAGAGUGGACAGCACAUGGUUGAGCAACAGGUAUGAGGAGAACUUUAGAGGCGAUCCAGAUUGGAAGAUAAGCGCGCUAAUAGACACUACCAAGAGAAAUCAUGGUGUAGACAUCACUCCUAUGAUGGCAUAUAGGGCAAGGAAUAAAGCAGCGGAUAUUGUGUUAGGAAAUCACAAACAACAGUAUGUGAGGAUCAGGGACUACUUGCAGACAGUGCUUGAUACAAACCCAGGCAGCCGAUGCAUCGUGACCACGGUUCAGCAGCCACCACCUGCAAUGAAUCCUAAGUUUCAUGGCUUAUUCUUCUGUGUGAAUGCAUCUAAGGAGGGAUUUUUGCAUGGAUGUAGGCCAUUCAUUGGUCUUGAUGGAUGCUUUGUUAAGCUGACUACAGGAGCACAAGUGUUGGCCGCCUCUGGAAGGGAUGGCAACAACAACUUGUUCCCCAUUGCAUUUGGAGUUGUUGGCAAAGAAGACAUUCCUAAUUGGUGUUGGUUCCUUGAACAACUCAAGUAUGCUCUUGGUGGCGACUCAGGGCCAUUUGGAAGGUGGACUAUCAUGUCAGACAGACAAAAGGGCCUGCUGAAUGCCAUAGACAAAGUAUUUCCUAAUUGUGAUCAGAGAUAUUGUCUUAGGCAUAUUUACGCAAAUUUUCAAACUGCUGGUCACAAGGGUGGUGAUCUUAAAAAACACAUGGAUAGUGCUGCAUAUGCUUACCAAAAGUCUGAUUAUGAUGCUGCUAUGAGUGACUUGAAGGCUGAGAGUGAAAGUGCAUGGGAAUGGUUGUCCAAAAUUCCACCUAGGCAUUGGGCAAGGCAUGACAUGGACACAAAUUGCAAAACAGAUUUAGUGGUGAACAACUUAAGUGAAGUAUUCAACAAGUAUAUCCUAGAAACUAGAGACAAGCCCAUUCAAACCAUGAUAGACAACAUUAGGACAAAACUAAUGGUCAGAUACAACAGCAAUAGAGAGGGGCUCGUUAAUUCAAAUUGGGAGAUCACACGAAACUAUGCAGAGAAGUUGGAACUUGAGAAGACCAGGGCAAAGCAUUGUAGGCCAGUAUGUGCAGGUCAAGGGCUGUGGCAAGUUACUUCUGGAUUGAAAACAUAUGUUGUUAAUGUCGAUGCUAAUACAUGUGGAUGUAGAAGGUGGGACAUUAAUGGUGUGCCAUGCAAACAUGCAGUGUCAUGCAUUUAUAAGAAAAAAGAGCAUCCUGAAGAUUAUAUGAGUGCAUUCUUCAAAAGGGCUAUGUACCAGGUUGCCUACAACAAUAUUAUAUACCCUGUCCCUAGCAAAGAUAGUUGGACAAAGACUGAAACACCCGAUAUUGACCCACCAAUUUUCACUAGACAUCCUGGAAGACCUAAGAAGAGCAGAAGGAAGGGAGUGCAUGAGGUGCCUCAGCCGGGUUCUAGACAUAGGAUGACAACAACGACAUGCUCGAACUGCCACAAACCUGGUCACAAGUAUACCAGUUGUACCACACCACUGAGAGUAGACUUGGCGAUAAGAAAAAACAAGCACAAGAGUAAUAGAAGAAUAUUUGAAGAAGGACCAAUCCAUGAUCAAGCUGAAGAAACACCACUUCAUGGUCAAGCCGAAGCAUCACCUGUUCAUGUUCAAGCUGAAGCAGCACCAGUUCAUGUUCAUGCUCAAGCUGAAGCAGAUACUUCAACUGGUGCAGCCAAAGGCAGAGGGGGAGGAAGAGCACAAGUAAAUGGAAGCGGAAGAGGCCGUGGAAAAGGCAGAGGCAGAGGACAAGCUGAAGCUGCAAUUCAAGAUCCUUUUCAUGCGCAUGCGGUCUUCGAAGCACAUGAUCCUUUUCAUGGGUUUGACAUACAAGAAGUUGCUUCACAACCAGCUGCAGCUAAUACUAGAGAGAAGCUACCAGUAAUGAGGGGUUCAGGUUCAACAGGGGGCAGAUUCAUGGAGUACUUCACUGCCAGUGGCAACCACUGA
RNAcentral lists this ribosomal RNA (3114 nucleotides) under Triticum aestivum (bread wheat). Its description in RNAcentral is "partial small subunit ribosomal RNA". Lineage: Eukaryota; Viridiplantae; Streptophyta; Magnoliopsida; Poales; Poaceae. The record is from RNAcentral.